This is a small nuclear RNA of Globicephala melas (long-finned pilot whale), 104 nucleotides long. Lineage: Eukaryota; Metazoa; Chordata; Mammalia; Artiodactyla; Delphinidae. The record is from RefSeq and is a predicted model, not a curated record.
GUGCUGGCUUCGGCAGCACACAUACUAAAACUGGAACGAUACAGAGAUGAGCAUGGCCCCUGCGCAAGGAGGAGAUGCAAAUUUGUGAAGCGUUCCAUAUUUUU